Molecule: ribosomal RNA, 1350 nt
Filed under: bacterium W24
Lineage: Bacteria
Description: bacterial SSU rRNA
Rfam family: Bacterial small subunit ribosomal RNA
Source: RNAcentral
GCCGAGCGGUAGAGAUCUUUCGGGAUCUUGAGAGCGGCGUACGGGUGCGGAACACGUGUGCAACCUGCCUUUAUCUGGGGGAUAGCCUUUCGAAAGGAAGAUUAAUACCCCAUAAUAUAUUGAAUGGCAUCAUUUGAUAUUGAAAACUCCGGUGGAUAGAGAUGGGCACGCGCAAGAUUAGAUAGUUGGUGAGGUAACGGCUCACCAAGUCAGCGAUCUUUAGGGGGCCUGAGAGGGUGAUCCCCCACACUGGUACUGAGACACGGACCAGACUCCUACGGGAGGCAGCAGUGAGGAAUAUUGGACAAUGGGUGAGAGCCUGAUCCAGCCAUCCCGCGUGAAGGACGACGGCCCUAUGGGUUGUAAACUUCUUUUGUAUAGGGAUAAACCUACCCUCGUGAGGGUAGCUGAAGGUACUAUACGAAUAAGCACCGGCUAACUCCGUGCCAGCAGCCGCGGUAAUACGGAGGGUGCAAGCGUUAUCCGGAUUUAUUGGGUUUAAAGGGUCCGUAGGCUGAUUUGUAAGUCAGUGGUGAAAUCUCACAGCUUAACUGUGAAACUGCCAUUGAUACUGCAAGUCUUGAGUGUUGUUGAAGUAGCUGGAAUAAGUAGUGUAGCGGUGAAAUGCAUAGAUAUUACUUAGAACACCAAUUGCGAAGGCAGGUUACUAAGCAACAACUGACGCUGAUGGACGAAAGCGUGGGGAGCGAACAGGAUUAGAUACCCUGGUAGUCCACGCCGUAAACGAUGCUAACUCGUUUUUGGGCUUUUGGGUUCAGAGACUAAGCGAAAGUGAUAAGUUAGCCACCUGGGGAGUACGAACGCAAGUUUGAAACUCAAAGGAAUUGACGGGGGCCCGCACAAGCGGUGGAUUAUGUGGUUUAAUUCGAUGAUACGCGAGGAACCUUACCAAGGCUUAAAUGGGAAAUGACAGGCUUAGAAAUAGGCUUUUCUUCGGACAUUUUUCAAGGUGCUGCAUGGUUGUCGUCAGCUCGUGCCGUGAGGUGUUAGGUUAAGUCCUGCAACGAGCGCAACCCCUGUCACUAGUUGCCAUCAUUAAGUUGGGGACUCUAGUGAGACUGCCUACGCAAGUAGAGAGGAAGGUGGGGAUGACGUCAAAUCAUCACGGCCCUUACGCCUUGGGCCACACACGUAAUACAAUGGCCGGUACAGAGGGCAGCUACACUGCGAAGUGAUGCAAAUCUCGAAAGCCGGUCUCAGUUCGGAUUGGAGUCUGCAACUCGACUCUAUGAAGCUGGAAUCGCUAGUAAUCGCGCAUCAGCCAUGGCGCGGUGAAUACGUUCCCGGGCCUUGUACACACCGCCCGUCAAGCCAUGGAAGUCUGGGGUA